RNAcentral lists this ribosomal RNA (253 nucleotides) under uncultured bacterium. RNAcentral describes it as "partial 16S ribosomal RNA". It matches the Rfam family "Bacterial small subunit ribosomal RNA", at positions 524 to 776 of the family's 1533-position model. The record is from RNAcentral.
UACAUAGGGUGCAAGCGUUAAUCGGAAUUACUGGGCGUAAAGCGUGCGCAGGCGGUGCUGUAAGACAGGCGUGAAAUCCCCGGGCUUAACCUGGGAAUGGCGCUUGUGACUGCAAAGCUGGAGUGCGGCAGAGGGGGAUGGAAUUCCGCGUGUAGCAGUGAAAUGCGUAGAUAUGCGGAGGAACACCGAUGGCGAAGGCAAUCCCCUGGGCCUGCACUGACGCUCAUGCACGAAAGCGUGGGGAGCAAACAGG